This is a long non-coding RNA of Pseudophryne corroboree (corroboree frog), 561 nucleotides long. RefSeq lists it as uncharacterized. The record is from RefSeq and is a predicted model, not a curated record. The transcript is spliced from 4 exons. Lineage: Eukaryota; Metazoa; Chordata; Amphibia; Anura; Myobatrachidae.
GUAAACCCGGCAGUCAGAACAGACUGUGGAUUUCCCGGGAUUAAUGCCACCGACUGUUAUUCCAGAGGCUGCUGCUUCAAUUCAAGUAUUCCUGGAGUCAAGUGGUGUUUCUACGCAAACAGCCUAGAUAAGGUUAAGUGCUCCGUGAGUCCCACAGCCAGGAUAGAGUGCGGCUAUGCCGGAAUCAGUCCGCCUGAGUGUUAUUCCAGAGGAUGUUGCUUUGAUUCAAGUGUUAAGAACGCUAUAUGGUGCUUCAAGAAAGCAGAAUGUUCUGUGGCUCCCCAAGACAGAGAUGAAUGUGGAGAGACUGGAAUCACUGCUGCUGACUGCCAGGCUAAAGGAUGCUGCUAUGACUCUAGUCACCCUAAUGCUCCCCCGUGCUACUCUCCAAAAGAAGAAUGCUAGGUGGCUGCAUCGCUGUGCGUAAGGGACUACAGCUUCUCUAAUACCACCGCCGAGAGCUGGUUGGACAGAAGCUGCUGUCAGCGUUCCAGUGUUCCCGGCACCAUUGGGUGCUUCUAUGGCUCACAAUAAAGAGUAUAAUUUCACGAUUGUACAAGC